GACGAACGCUGGCGGCGUGCCUAAUACAUGCAAGUUGAGCGAUGAAGAUUGGUGCUUGCACCAAUUUGAAGAGCAGCGAACGGGUGAGUAACGCGUGGGGAAUCUGCCUUUGAGCGGGGGACAACAUUUGGAAACGAAUGCUAAUACCGCAUAACAACUUUAAACAUAAGUUUUAAGUUUGAAAGAUGCAAUUGCAUCACUCAAAGAUGAUCCCGCGUUGUAUUAGCUAGUUGGUGAGGUAAAGGCUCACCAAGGCGAUGAUACAUAGCCGACCUGAGAGGGUGAUCGGCCACAUUGGGACUGAGACACGGCCCAAACUACUACGGGAGGCAGCAGUAGGGAAUCUUCGGCAAUGGACGAAAGUCUGACCGAGCAACGCCGCGUGAGUGAAGAAGGUUGUCGGAUCGUAAAACUCUGUUGGUAGAGAAGAACGUUGGUGAGAGUGGAAAGCUCAUCAAGUGACGGUAACUACCCAGAAAGGGACGGCUAACUACGUG
RNAcentral lists this ribosomal RNA (497 nucleotides) under uncultured bacterium. RNAcentral describes it as "partial 16S ribosomal RNA". It matches the Rfam family "Bacterial small subunit ribosomal RNA", at positions 28 to 507 of the family's 1533-position model. The record is from RNAcentral.